CCAGAAAUGACGGACAUUGUGCAAGCGUACCAGUCGGUCAGCGGCUUUUCCGUUUAUCCACAAGAAUUCCUAAUUAUCCUUUUACGACCUAUCAAAGCAUCCGGAAUUUCAAAUAUUCGCGUGGGUGUUGUUUAUAAAGCAAAUCAUGAAGUAUGCACUCAAGUUGUGGCCUUUGGUUUACCAGGCUCAGGGUGUAGCUAAGCAAUGACUACGGGAACGAAAAGAGAAGCUUUCGACGAGUAUUUUGGUACCAAACAUGUAGCAAGGCAAUCAAUAUAUAUAGUUUGGCAAGCGAAUGGAAUAUCACUUUUUGACCGCGAAGUAAUAUUGUAAUAUGCAUAUUAACGCACCGGCUUGCGAAUUUCAAAACAAAAAAGCAGAGCUUUUAUCGGGUGUAACAAAAUAAUAUACGGCGGAAGGCAAGGCUAUACUAUUCGUCAAAAUAAAAUGAUUUCAACAAAUUUCGAUAAUUGAAUAUAUUACGAGAUAUAGCCUUUUGAGCGAGAAACCUUUAUAGAUUCCUAUGUAAAGUGAGGUAAAAUGUUGUAAUAUUCAAUCGCAAAAAGCAGAGCGAGUAUGCAAAGAAAUGAGAACUUUUUUUCUUAAUGUGUUACUAUACCACCCAUACUUCUGGA
Non-coding RNA from Paramuricea clavata, 635 nucleotides. NCBI's taxonomy places the organism in Eukaryota, Metazoa, Cnidaria, Anthozoa, Malacalcyonacea, Plexauridae. The record is from the annotation of a GenBank genome assembly.